Molecule: ribosomal RNA, 429 nt
Filed under: Gemmatimonadota bacterium
Lineage: Bacteria; Pseudomonadati; Gemmatimonadota
Description: Gemmatimonadetes bacterium partial 16S ribosomal RNA
Rfam family: Bacterial small subunit ribosomal RNA
Source: RNAcentral
UAGGGAGUCUUCGGCAAUGGACGAAAGUCUGACCGAGCAACGCCGCGUGAGUGAAGAAGGUUUUCGGAUCGUAAAACUCUGUUGUUAGAGAAGAACAAGGACGUUAGUAACUGAACGUCCCCUGACGGUAUCUAACCAGAAAGCCACGGCUAACUACGUGCCAGCAGCCGCGGUAAUACGUAGGUGGCAAGCGUUGUCCGGAUUUAUUGGGCGUAAAGCGAGCGCAGGCGGUUUCUUAAGUCUGAUGUGAAAGCCCCCGGCUCAACCGGGGAGGGUCAUUGGAAACUGGGAGACUUGAGUGCAGAAGAGGAGAGUGGAAUUCCAUGUGUAGCGGUGAAAUGCGUAGAUAUAUGGAGGAACACCAGUGGCGAAGGCGGCUCUCUGGUCUGUAACUGACGCUGAGGCUCGAAAGCGUGGGGAGCAAACAGG